GAACACGGGAGAUAGGUAAAGGAGAGAUAGAAUUAUCAGUGUGAAGACACACGGGAAGACGUGGUUUUAUGAUACCGCUUUUACCUCGAGUUACCAUCGAAUGAGUGUUUUGAGGAGAAGGAGCAGGAGCAGGAGGUGUAGGAUCGAUUUCUGGAGUGGGAGGCUGAGGUGAGAGAAUGUGAGGCGAUGGUGGUGGAGAAGGAGGUGGAGCUGUAGGAGUUGUUGUGGGUCGAAUGAUAGGAGAAGGAGAAAUGAACGGAGUAGAGGAAGCUGUAGAAUGAGUAGAAGGGAAGGAGAAGGGAAAUACCGUUUCAU
Molecule: long non-coding RNA, 315 nt
Filed under: Brassica napus (rape)
Lineage: Eukaryota; Viridiplantae; Streptophyta; Magnoliopsida; Brassicales; Brassicaceae
Description: long non-coding RNA (BNAP_LNC003181)
Source: RNAcentral